UACGUAGGGUCCGAGCGUUGCCCGGAAUUAUUGGGCGUAAAGGGCUCGUAGGCGGUCCGUCACGUCGGGAGUGAAAACUCAGGGCUCAACCCUGAGCGUGCUUCCGAUACGGGCGGACUAGAGGUAUGCAGGGGAGAACGGAAUUCCUGGUGUAGCGGUGGAAUGCGCAGAUAUCAGGAGGAACACCGGUGGCGAAGGCGGUUCUCUGGGCAUUACCUGACGCUGAGGAGCGAAAGCUAGGGGAGCAAACGGG
This 253-nucleotide ribosomal RNA is filed under the name uncultured bacterium. RNAcentral's name for it is "partial 16S ribosomal RNA". It matches the Rfam family "Bacterial small subunit ribosomal RNA", at positions 524 to 776 of the family's 1533-position model. The record is from RNAcentral.